GCGGCAGGAGAGAAGCGCGGGAGCAGGCAGGGCGCCGGUUGCUGUGAAGAGGGCGGAGGGGCGGGGGCGAGGGCGGCGCAGGCGGAAGGACGAGCCGGGAAGAGCGGAAAAAUCGGCCGAUGGUGCCGCUGCCUCAGUUCUGCCCGCUUCUGUAGCCUCCUUGCUGGGUACAGCGGAGCAGAAAGAGCCUUAGUGUUCCCUCCCAAUCCCCCAGUAAGAAGCUAGCGCUGAAACGUGGGAGGCGUGGUAGCCACCGACAUUUAAUGCCUCUCUCCCGCUCGAUUUCUGAAGGUUCUGCGGCCUGGAGACGGCAUCGCGGGCACGCUUCAACUGUAGGGGACGGUAUUCUGAACAGGCAAGAGCCUGUGACUCAGGGGUGGUCCCUCCGCACCUUCAGAUGAGAAGCUGAAGACGUACAGCUCCAGCCUGACGUCCGUGGGGGGUACACCAAAGCCCCCGAUGUGGCCAGAGGUAACCCAAUAGGCUCCCCCGUUACGCCAGAUUAUCCCUGGAGAAUUCACUCUCCACCACGUGAAAGGAAGAGACGAAAAGUUUGGGGACUCGAUAUAAGUCGGGAAGCAGCAGCUGGUCAGCUCUUUGCAUGCUUUGAGUCUAAUUACACAGAGCACAAAUCCAUUGCCCAUGAAGAAAAGGAACACUAGAAUGAGCCCUCUGAAAAAACCCAGGUGGUUGCCUUGACUCCUCACCUCUGAUUUACCCGCCUUCUCUGCUUCCUAAAGCUAAACAAAGUAUCACUAUGUCCUAGAAGAUGAAGCUCGCCAGGAAGCUGCUGUUUGGAAGCUUUUGUUCACCAAAUGCCUGCGAUUCUCCCAACACACCAUUCUCGUGGUACUCCAAGUGCAGAGGAUUGAGUGGAUCAGGUCCCUCAGCUCAUUGCAUCCUGUACUAUCAUCAUCACUUGUCCAUUCAGGGUCUCUCUCUUAAUUUAUUUAUUGCUUUCAUCCCCAUAACCACUUCCCGUAAUAGGCAAUCGUUCUAAUGUUUUUAACAUGUGUCUCCUGUUUUGUCCCCUGUUCACUUAGUCGUGAUGUCUCUGGUUGAACAAAAGUCCUUAAAUUUAAUGUAAUCAGACCCACCAACUUUGGGCCUUAUGGCUGGUGCUUUUGAAGUUAAAAACUUUUUUCCUGCCACAAAGGCGAAAGUCUACAUCUUCAAUAAACUUCAUAGCAUUACCUUUCACUUUUGGGCCCUUUAUCCAUUUGGAAUCUAUCUUUCGUGUGUAGUGUUGAGAUCUAUCUGUAUUUAUCUAGUUAGCCAGGUUCCCAGAACCAUCUGUUAAGCCAUUCUUUUCCCCACUGAUAGGUGGUGGUGUUACCUUUAACCUACAUAAAAUGCCUUUUUUGGAUGGGCCUGCCUCUGUGAUCUCCUGUGUUUUGUUGGUCUAUUUAUUCUUGUCCCAGUAUAGAACAUAUGUCCCCAGCUGCUUUCUUCCCUCUCUCAUGUCACCACGAUUCCUUUUAUGUAUACUUGCUUUGUCCCCUAUAUUGGAAGAAAGGAUUUUUGGAGGUGAGGGGGUAGGGUAUUGGACUUGUAAGUUCCGGAUCCUCUUUGGCAGACUGAGGGAGACUGUGAACUCCCACAUUGGUAAAUAUGCUCCUUCCCAAAUGAAUCGACCAUGGCACAGUCCUGGUCCCCUUUUCUGCUCUUUACCCCUGCUGUGCCUUUCUCCUCAGUAACAGUCAAUAUGACCUAUAAUGAAACAAAAGAAAAGAGAAAAUUGCCGUGACAUUUUUUCUUUCAAAAUAAGUUAUUUUUAAGUUAAAUACUCCAGAAGCAGUUUACUUUUAAAUCAAUUACUUAAAUCCCAGAUCAUCUUUUCUUAGAAGGAAAAGAAGGCAUUUAGAAGAAAACUUGCAUAAAAACUAAUUUUUAAUUACUAUUGGUUAAUUCAUUCAUUUACUGAUGGAUAGCUAAGGAACCAGGAGAUUGAUUCAUGAGAACCAAGCUUUAGAUUGAUUCAUGAGAACCAAGCUUUUCCAGUGCGUUCUCUGCCUCCUUCCAUAACCCUGAAGUCGGUGCCUAUACGUGGUGUGUAACGCUGCACCUCACAGACUGAUUCAUUCUAAUGCUUUGUCUUUCAGAAACUUUCCUUCGAAUAGGAAUCUAUAAUGUUGCUGUGAUGUUUUUUCCUGCACUUGAGUGGUGUUGAAUGCUCUGAGUAAUGAGAGCUGCAGGAGGAGACACUACUGUACACUCUGCCAAGACACAUCACUGAAUCACUUUUUACAAACUCUCAGUGAGUGGACACCCUUCAGUGCCAUCCUAAGUUGAGUAGUGUUCUGGAACAUGUUUGUUCCAUUGUCAGCUCUUUUUAUUCAGUUUUUGUGUCUGUACGUUCUAACACACGUCAUGGUUGACCAAUGGUGUGCAUGUGGUGGUUAACACUAUACCUGCUGGAAGAAACAAAGGAAGAACACCAUGCCAUUUGUUAUAUCAUGCCUUUCUGCUGUUCAAGCUGCCUCCAAGGAAAUAGUUUAGAGAACACAGAGAAAUUUGGGAUUGAUGGAAGUCGUUUUGGCAUUAUAAGGGGCAUCAUAACAUUGCAGGCUGAGAGGUUUGGCCAGUCUUAUUAAUAAGAACUGAAAGAAACUGGAGCAAGGCGUGGUGUGACUUCAUGGGAUUUCAAGGGGUUCAAAGAGCUGCGGCUGACUUACAGCACCAUGAUCAGCUGUAAGUGAGCAAUAGCUGGUGGGACAGCUGUUUCAUAUAGUUCUGAGUAAGUUAGCUAAAUGGUUAAGAUCAAGCUUUGGCAGCAGACAGACUUGAGUUUCAAUCCCGGACAUUUUACUAGCUGUGUGACCUCGUGAAGGAGACUUAACUUCUGAGACUUAGUUUCCCCAUCUUUAAAAUGGAGAUAAAAUAUAGGCAACUGCCUCAAGGUUGUUGUGAGAAUUAAAUAAGAAUGCACCGUACACUCAGGUGCUGGCUAUUAUCCUUCUUUGUACUGAAAGCUUUGUCAGAAGCCUUGUGUGUUUCACAGAGAGUGCCUUUGACUUAGGCUGGAGAAGUGGAAGUAUCCUGCUUCCACCACCAACCACUUAGGAUCUCAGGAAAAUUACUCAACUUUGGAGUUACAAUGUCAUCUUUAAAAUGUUGAUGAAAUGAAGUAAACUAAGCAAAAGGGUAAAGUUAAGAGCAAUGAAAAGGUGAGAUGGCUUCUGCUGAUUCUUCUUUGGCUUUUACCAGUGAGGCUCAAAAUAGAAUCAAAAAAAUUCCAAGCUGGGCAGUCCAGUAAAAGCAGUCUGGUUUUGUGUGCCACUAAGCUCUGUGUUUUGUGCCGUCUAUGUGAAACCAGUCGAGUACAUCAGGAGACCCUCUGCUGCAACUCAAAAAGAGUGAUUAACCGUUAAAUUUUCAAACACAUUUCAGUUGACUGCUUGGCUCAUGGGCCCACUUCCAUUGGUGAAAGCCACAGGCACACUCCAGGAGGUGAACAAAAGCUUGUGUGCUACAUAGUGGACACAAGACUAUGUCUCUAUGUGACAGACACCCAUGCACAGAAGUGCAGUAUCACUGUACUUCUCUUUGUAGCAGAAAUAUCUAUCGUGAGCAUACAACUAGGUAGAGCUCUCAUUAUGUCGAAGUGAAAUAGCUAAUAAAUUAUUAUAGGAAAGAGCUGUGUUGGAAGAACUGCUUUCCAUUUUAAGCUUAUACUCACUUGUUUUUAUAAAUGUUCUCCAUACCACAUGUUACUCUGAUAAUGUCUAGACUAUCAGAUUAAAUGUUCCAGAGCACAUACAAAGUAUCAAGAUGUAAG
This 3778-nucleotide long non-coding RNA is filed under the name Equus asinus (donkey). Its description in RNAcentral is "lncRNA (ENSEASG00005029483.1)". The record is from RNAcentral. Lineage: Eukaryota; Metazoa; Chordata; Mammalia; Perissodactyla; Equidae.